CUUUCCACUCUCUGCUAGCAAAGAGCCCCACCAGUGUAGCACAAGUUGCUACCAGUGACUGAUAGAUUAUCAUUUCCAAAAUCACUGUAAAUGUUUCCCUUCUGAAAAUCUUAUGGAAGGAGAGCUCUGUAAGGGAAAGCAUCAAUCCGAAUCCAGCAGAUGCACCAACAGUGCAAAAGAGUCCAAUUUCAUAAUUCACAUUAGAGUUUCCGGUGGGGUUCGUAGAAUUGGUUUGAAAUACCAGCAGGGCAGAGGAGAUGGUGAGAAGGACUAGAGAAUUGAUUAUAAAAGGAGUAAACUUCUGGGAAUUUAUAAGGAAGGAGAAGAAAGCAUUGAAGGUCAACUGGGAUGCGCAAAUAAGUGCAAAAGUAGAUACUGGAAGGUGCAAGAGCCCAACUGAAUACAUCAUGCUGUUUGCUGCCUGAAGUACACCUAAAGAGACAUAUAUCAAAGCAAUGAUUAAGGUGGAGGGCUCAUUCCUGUGGAUACUGUUUGUAGUAGGCUUUUCGGGUGGAGAGAUGUAGUAGUAAGGAAUGAUGAUUGGGAAUCCUGCAAUUUGCACUAGUGUUGCUGUCCAUUUGCUCUUUCCACCUUUGUCAUAGUAGAAUCUUCCCAAGAGUAUAGCUGCUGACUGGCCAAAGAGGACAAAGAGUGUAAACAUGGUCAUUCGGAGCCACUGCAUAAAGGUUCUGGGUUGUGAGAUUGUUGAUUGGUUGGUGGCAUUGAUAUGACCAGGUGUGUUUGCUUCUUCAGCUUCUUGAACUGGUAAGAACAUGUAAAGGGAUUAUUAGAGGAGAAACUUUGCUAUCUUUUGAAUUCCUUUUUAAUGUUGAUGUGUAUUGCUUUCUAACUAAUUAGUUUGUCAACAAGCAUUAUUUUUUAGCAGCAUCAAUAAACACACUCAAUCUAUGCUACUAAUAGGGUC
Quercus robur (English oak) is the source of this 925-nucleotide long non-coding RNA. RefSeq lists it as uncharacterized. The transcript is spliced from 2 exons. The record is from RefSeq and is a predicted model, not a curated record. Lineage: Eukaryota; Viridiplantae; Streptophyta; Magnoliopsida; Fagales; Fagaceae.